AUUGUACUCCUGCUGCAGUGG
This 21-nucleotide unclassified non-coding RNA is filed under the name Mus musculus (house mouse). RNAcentral describes it as "oocyte_clustered_small_RNA9276". Lineage: Eukaryota; Metazoa; Chordata; Mammalia; Rodentia; Muridae. The record is from RNAcentral.